AGCGACUCGUUUAGGUCUUGGGUUUCUGGUCGAAUCGAUCCUCUUUUGUGAGUUCUUAUAGAGAUAUUAGGUUUAUUUGUUUCGGUAGAAAAUAAUUUGCAGCUUUUACGAUUGCAUGGUUAUAUCAAUGUUUUGAUGCCAUAUUUCUUGGAAUUCUGCUGUGUUGAAUGAGGUCUUAAGCAAGACACAGAUUUUUUUUGUGUUUUUCUCCGAACUAUGUUCUUCGCUGGUUUGAAACUUUUUUGUUGAAUUAAAUAUUUAAUUAUUAUAAUUACAAAUAAUUUGAUCUUUAAAAAUUUCGAGGUAUGAUUAUCCAUUAUUUUACAUUCAUGGGAAUUCCUACAAUAUUAAUUUGAAGUUUCAGAAAAAACUGUUUCUCUUUUAUUUGGAAGAAAAUAACAUGCCAUAUUGGAAUUCUCUCGUGGUGAAUGAUUUAUUGGUGAUUGGGUGGUGUUUACUUUUUAGACGAAGAUUUUCUGUGUUUUUCUCAAGAUUUUGUUCUUUACUGGUUUGGAACUUUUUGUUGAAUUAAAUAUAUGAUUGAUAAUCCAUAGAUACUCUCUAUCUGUUUCACACUCCACUUAUAUAUUUAAUUUCUAGCAACCUAAUUCACCAUACAAUUAGGGUUAGGACCAUACAAGUAGGGAUUUGUUGGAAAGAUACUUAUUUUGGAUGAUCUCAGAACAACACACAAAAUGCAAUGCAUGCAAAUACCUAGGAGGCACCCCCCCUAAUUUUAUCAAGUGAUUAUAUGUCUUUAAUCUUACACGAAGUCACCUUUUUUAAAUCCUUCGUUCCUAGGUUUUUGUAGGUUGUGCGUUGCUGAUUAAAUUACCUACUUAUCUGCAAAUUGACUUAUUUGCACUGGAUGAAAGUCCAUCAGUCUAUGUAUUCCGAAAUAAUCAAUAAAAGCUCAAUAUUAACACCCAAUUCUCCCUACACAGCCCAUCAAAAAAAGAGUUUUCUGAAGUUGCAAUAGAAUUUCAGAGCUGAUUUUCAUCUUAGAUUCUUAGAUUCUUGAGAUGUGGUAACUCCAGGAAACAACUAGAAAAUGCGAUUUUAAUAGACACAAGGACAAUAAAAAAGCAUAAACACCAAUCAUGAAUUGUCAACAUAGAUUCUGUUUCUUCAAAUUAGCAAGAAUUCCUCCGCAUCCCGAGAUCCUUUAUGAUUUAGAACCCUCUUUCCUCCAUUUCGCAAGAUUUUAAUUGGAUUAAAUACCAAUUGUUCUCUGCAAGUAAGUUGACUGUAUUAACUCGAUUUCUUAAAAUUUGUUUCAACAAUAGUACAUUGAACAUAUUUCGACCUUGUUUUCUAUUUUUUGUAACUUCUAGAAUAACAUAGCUGCAGCGAAUAGUAGCAUCAUAAGUCAGCUAUUGAAUUUAACUCCAUGACUAACAUCACAAUAACUUUUCCUUUACCUAGUCUUCUACUUCUAGUUCUUUGGUGUACUUUUGUCUCCAAAGAGAGAUACAUUAAGAACAUUGGCUAUAUGAGAAAAACUUGAACUCCUAAUUCUGUAAACAUUUAUCAAAUAUUUUUCAUCGAUGGACUCCCCCGGGCCCUCAUCCUCCUCCUCCCACGGGACACACAUGCACGCAGUUGCUUGCCACACAAAAUACAAUGCACAAAAAUACAUAAGAGGCACUCAAAUCCCAUCAUUGAUUAAAUCCUCGUUUGUCUAUUAGUUCUCAGUUUCUCUUCAGUGCAGGACACAGCAGUUUGGUAGCUCGCAAGGCUCAUAACCUUGAGGUCACGGUUUCAAAUCCUGUAUCGGCAAAAUUCUUUUUAUGCUUGGUUUUUGUUUUUUCGCCAGUGUGAAUGAGUUCCUUUUGCUGGUUGGUCAAUACUUUUUUGCUUGUUUGCAGUCUAUUACUUGAAGAUGGACUUGGUGAAAGUUAAAGAGCCUUUUAAAUAGCUGGACUUCUUACUUGUUUUGUUGGAAUGUAUCCUGCGAUUAGUUGAGAAUAAAAGAGAGAAUCUAAUUUGCAGUUUUAGUUUUUUGUUCUUCUUGAUUUUUGCUGGAACUAUCUUUUUGGUGCUUACAUACACUUGCUAUUUUACUUGUUUGUAGUCGCUUUUCUUCGAUCUGACCUUAAGAAUGAUUUCAAGUACGGUCUUUUGGAAGAGCUAAGAGAAUCUCUACCUGGUUGUACUGCAGGAAAUGAUCAAUCUUUUGCUCUUUAAUUGUUAUAAGCAUGGCGAGAAUGAUAUAUAGCUGUUGUUGUUAUAGAACCUUCUGCUUGAUAGUUUGUGUUAGGAUAUUGAGUGAGUGGCAUAUUUUACCCAAAACCUGAAUUGCAAUGUGUCAAAGUGCCUGGAGUUGUUUGUGAACAUAUAUUCUUUUUUGGAUAUAGCUAUUACUGUUGCUUGUAACUACAUCUUGUAGGGGUUCCAGGACAGUUCUGGAUGGUUCAAUAAUUCUAUAUACUGUUAGUAAUGAUGCAUUAGGUUUUAACUGUCAACUUUGAGCUCUCUUUAGGAUUAACUAAAGAUGCUGUUCAGGAAUGCAGUGCUUCUCCUUGGAUGAGACUGAUUGGACAUCAGUUGAUCCCUUCUGAUACGUAGAGAUCCCUCUGCUUUUGAUAUGGUGAGAUGCAGCAGCUACCUGCAACCUGCUGCAGCAACUGUUUACUUGUUACCUCUGGCUUACAUUUGUGCUAUUUUGGGAAAACCUUUGUUGAGUUGGGCCAUAUUGUAACGAUACAGGAUGUAGGAACACAUUAGAGAGGUUUAUUAUUUGACUCUUUCUCCACCUACAAGCUAUAUGUUCUUUCCUUUCCAGCUUCUUUCUAAGCAAAAUUAUUCAGUGUUGAUGGAUGUACGCAAAACCUUGGUAUCUUGUGUUUUUAUAUUACCUACCUUACACUUCACUUCCAAUUCUCUCUUCUUUUUUUUUGUAUUAUCUUCCUUACCAAUGAUUUUUAUAUCUGCUACUCGCAAAUUUAGGGUAUCAUAUAUUUACGUUUUAGCAUGUAUGAAUGAGUUUCUUUUGCUGGUUGCUCGUUCUUUUUUGCUUGUUUGCAGUCACUUGAAGAUGGACUUCGUGAACGUUACAGAACCUUUUACAUGGCUGGACUUCUUACUUGUUAUUGGACUGUACAUCUGUGAUUAGUUGAAAACAGAAGAGUAUCUCAUUCUCUGUUUUUGUUUUUAGUUCUUUGAUUUUGCAUGACCUCUCUUUUUGGUGUUUUUACAGACACUUGUUAUUUUGCUUGUUUAUAGUUGAUUUUGAGAGUGGUCUUUUGGAAGAGCUGAGAGAACCUUUUGGUUAGACUGCAGGAAAUGAUCAAUGUUUCUGUAAGUUUGUAUUCGAAUAUUGAGUCAUUGGCAUAUCUUACCCAAUACCCGAGUUUUAAUUUAUUAAAGUGCCUCGAGUUGUUUACGGACAUUUUUUGAAGAAAUGGCAGACAAAAAAUGAUAUGAUUAUGUGGAAUAUUUGCAUCCUCAAUCGCACAAUUAGGUAUCAGGUAAAUGGACUUUAGUUAAUACCUUAGUUUGACCUUUGAUCUUUGUUUGGCUCAUAAACUGUUUUGAUUCUAAACUUUUUAAGUUUUAGAUUUUUUUCAAAAGCUUGGAAAUUAUUCUUUGAUUGAUCCAGAGAGCUUGUGGCUGGCAGGCAUUCGAUUGGUCUUGGUUUGUACUAAUUUACGUUUAGAUAGUUGUGUAGUAUAUUUGGUAUUAUUUCACCAUCUUUCCAAUUUUUACUGCUGUGUUUAAUCUUCCUUCAUCAAUAUUUCUAUUUUCCAUCCGCCAUUUGUUCAGGAAAUUUGCGGAUCUUUCUUACUUGAAAUAUAGGUGAGGAUUAGAAUUCCUUUGCAAUUCAUUAUAAAUGGGUUAUUCUAUUUGUACAGAUAUAGUGGAGAGGUGCAUUAAAUCCUUUUUUAUCUUUUAGUUCUCAGUUCGUCUUUAACGCGGGGCAGAGCAGUUUGGUAGCUCGCAAGGCUCAUAACCUUGAGGUCAUGGGUUCAAAUCCGGUCUCCGAUGCAUAAUUUUUAUGCUUGGUUUUUUAAUAUUUUUUUUUUACCAUAUAUGAAUGCGUUUCUUUUGCUUGUUGCUCGUUACUUUUCUGUUUGCUUGCAGUCACUUGAAUAUGGACAUAGUGAAAGCUAAAGAACCUUUUUUGUGGCUGGACUUCUUACAUGUUCUUGGAAUGUACAUCCUGUGAUUAGUUGAAAUCAAAAGAGUAUCUAAUUCUCUGUUUUUGUUAUUUGUUCUGUCGGCUUGGAUUUUGCUUGGCCUCUCGUUUUGGUGUUUACGGACACUUGUUAUUUUGGUUGUUUUUAGUUGAUUUUGAGAGUGGUCUUUUGGAAAAGGUAAGAGAAACUUUGCCUGGUUAAACUGCAGGAAAUGAUCAAAUGUUUCUGUAAGUUUGUACUACGAUAUUGAGUCAUUGGCAUAUCUUACCCAAAACCUGAGUUGUAAUGUAUCAAAGUGCCUUGAGUUUAUGGACAUUUUUUUUGAAGAUAUGACGGACAAAAAAGGAGAAGAUCAUUGUGGAAUAUUUGCAUCCUCAAUCGCACAAUUAGGUAUCAGGUAAUAUUUAGUUCAGAGUUAGAAUUCAUUGAUUGCAUGGUUGAUAGAUGGAAUGCCUGCGUGACUUCUGGAUCUCAAUGAAUGCCAGUAAUGCUCGAUAUGUGUCAUAGUGCAGUCUGGACCUUGUGGUAGGCAGCAUUCGAUUCGUCAUGGUUUGUGCUUAUUUAGGUUUUGAAAGUUGUGUAACAGUAUAUUUGGUAUUAUUUUACCUUCUUCCCAAUUUUUACCGCCAUGUUAUUCUUCCUUCAUCUAUAUUUCUCUUUUCCACUAUUUGUUCAGAAAAUUUGAGGAUCUUUCUUGCUUGAAAUAUUAGGUGAGGAUUACUAUUCCCUUACAAUUCAUUAUAAAUGGGUUAAUCUAUUUGUGCUUAUAUUUUGUAUUAUUUCACCAUCAUCCCAAUUUUUGCCGCUGUGUUUAUUCUUCCUUCAUCUAUAUUUCUCUUUUCCACCAUUUGUUCUUAAAAUUCAUGGAUCUUUCUUACACUGAAUAUUAGGUGAGGAUUGCUAUUUGAUAUAGUGGGGGAGCAUAUUAAAUCCUUGUUUGUCAAUUAGUUCUCGGUUCUUGUCUUCAGCGUGGGGCAGAGCAGUUUGGUAGCUCACAAGGCUCCUAACCUUGACGUCAUGGGUUCAAAUCCCGUCUCCGCAGCUUUAUUUUUAUUCUUGGUUUUUUAUUUUUUAUUUAUUUUUAACGUGUGUGAAUAAGUUUGUUAUGCUGGUUUUCCGUUACUUUUUUGUUUGUUUGCAGUCACUUGAAGUUUGGCUUGGUGAAAGUUAAAAGAGUCUUUUGUGUGGCUAGACUUCUUCCUUGUCUUUGGACUGUCCAUCCUGUGAUUAGUUGAAAACAGAAAAUAGUAUCUAAUUCUUUGUUUUUGUUUUUUGUUCUUUUUUUUUUUUUUUCGCUUGACCUCUCUCUUUGGUGUUUAUAAAUGCUUGUUAUUUUGCUUUAUUUGUAGUUAAUUUUGACAGCGGUCUAUUGGAAGAGCUUAAGAGAACCUUUACCUGGUUAGACUGCAGGAAAUGAUCGAUGUUUCUGUAAGUUUGUUUUAGCAUAUUAAGUCAUUUGCAUACCUUACUCAAAACCUGAGUUGUAAUGUAUCAAAGUGCUUUGAGUUGUUUAUGGACAUUUUUUUUGAAGACAUGGCAGACAAAAAAUUGAGAUCAUAAUGGUGGAAUAUUUGCAUUCUCAAUCGCACAAUUAUGUAUCAGGUAAAUGGACUUCAGUAAAAGCCUUAGUUUGACCUUUGAUAUUGGUUUGGCUCUUAAACUAUUUUGGUCUUAAACUUAAGUUUUAGAUUUAUAUUAUUUUCGAAAGCUUGGAAGUUAUGUGUUGUUCGAUCCAGAGCUUUGAUCGAAUGAUCAACAGAUUGAAUUUGUUUCUGUUGAUAUUUUGGUCAAAGUUAGAAUGUGUUGAUUGCACGGUGGAUAGGAGGGUGAAUUCCUUUUAGACUUCUCUUAGGCUUCGGAUCAAUCGUACUAGUCAAACCUACGUAUUCGGUGCCUGUAUAAUAGUAUUGGCGUCUUUUUAUGUAGAAUCUCAUAGAAGGCCGGGAAAUGUCAUGGUGCAAUUGGUACCUUGUGGUAGGUAGAUUUCGAUUCGUCUUGGAUUGUCCUUGUAUUUGGUAUUAUUUCAUCAUCAUCCCAAUUUUUACCGCUGUGUUUAUUCUUCCUUCAUCUAUAUUUCUCUUUUCCACAAUUUGUUCUGAAAAUACAUUGAUCUUUCUUACACUGAAUAUAAGGUGAGGAUUGCUAUUCCUUUACAAUUCAUUACAAAUGGCUUCUUAUUCUAUUUGUUCAGAUAUAGUGGGGGAGCAUAUUAAAUCCUUGUUUAUCUAUUAGUUCUCAGUUCUUGUCUUCAGCGUGUGGCAGAGCUGUUUGGUAGCUCACAAGGCUCCCAACCUUGACAUCAUGGGUUCAAAUCCUGUAUCCACAGCUUUCUUUUUAUUCUUUGUGUGUUUUUUUAACAUGUGUGAAUAAGUUUGUUAUGCUGGUUCUCCGUUGCCUUUUUGCUUGUUUGCUGUCACUUGAAGAUUGGCUUGGUGAAAGUUAAAGAGCCUUUUGCGAGCUAGACUUCUUCUUUGCCUUUGGACUGUACAUCCUGUGAUUAGUUGAAAACAGAAGAUGGUAUCGAAUUCUAUGUUUGUUUUUUUUGCCUGACCUCUCUCUUUGGUGCUUACAAAUGCUUGUUAUUUUGCUUUAUUUGUAGUUGAUUUUGAGAGUGGUCUAUUGGAAGAGCUAAGAGAAUCUUUACCUGGUUAGACUGCGGGAAAUGAUCGAUGUUUCUGUAAGUUUUUUUUAGGAUAUUGAGUCAUUUGCAUAUCUUACCCAAAACCUGAGUUGUAAUGUAUCAAAGAGAGUUGAGUUGUUUAUGGACAUUUUUUUGAAGACAUGGCAGACAAAAAAUUGAGAUCAUAAUGGUGGAAUAUUUGCAUUCUCAAUCGCACAAUUAUGUAUCAGGUAAAUGGACUUCAGUAAAAACCUUAGUUUGACCUUUGAUCUUGGUGUGGCUCUUAAACUAUUUUGGUCCUAAACUUUUAAGUUUUAGAUUUAUAUUAUUUUUGAAAGCUUGGAAGUUGUGUGUUGUUCGAUCCAGAGAGCUUUGAUGGAAUGAUCAACCCGAUUGAAUUGGUUUCUGUUGAUAUUUAGGUCAAAGUCAGAAUGCGUCGAUUGCAUGGUGGAUAGGGUGAAUUCCUUUUAGACUUCUUGUAGUCUUUGAUCAAUCGUACUUGUCAAACCUACGUAUUCGGUGCCUGUAUAAUAGUAUUUGCGUGUUAAUAUGUAGAAUCUCAAAGAAGGGUUCGGGAAAUGUCAUAGUGCAAUCGGGACCUUGUGGUAGGUAGCAUUCGAUUCGUCUUGGAUUGUGCUUAUAUUUGUUUUUAUUUCAUCAUCAUCCCAACUUUUACCGCUGUGUUUAUUCUUCCUUCAUCUAUAUUUCUCUUUUCCACCAUUUGUUCUGAAAAUGCAUUGAUCUUUCUUACAUUGAAUAUUAGGUGAGGAUUGUUAUUCCUUUACAAUUCAUUACAAAUGGCUUCUUAUUCUAAUUGUUCAGAUAUAGUGGGGGAGCAUAUUAAAUCCUUGUUUGUCUAUUAGUUCUCAGUUCUUGUCUUCAGCGUGUGGCAGAGCAGUUUGGUAGCUCACAAGGCUCCUAACCUUGAUGCCAUGGGUUCAAAUCCCGUCUCCGCAGCUUUCUUUUUAUUCCUUUUAAGUUUGUUAUGCUGGUUGUCCGUUACUUUUUUGCUUGUUAACCUUUUUGCUUGUUUGCUGUCACUUGAAGAUUGGCUUGGUGAAAGUUAAAUAGCCUUUUGCCAGCUAGACUUCUUCCUUGUCUUUGGACUGUACAUCCUGUGAUUAGUUGAAAACAGAAGAUGGUAUCGAAUUCUCUGUUUUUGUUUUUUGUUCUAUUUUUUUUUUUUUUUUUUUUUUUUUCUUUUAGUUCGACUCUCUUUGGUGUUAACAAACACUAGUUGUUUUUUGCUUUAUUUGUAGUUGAUUUUGAUAGCGGUCUAUUGGAAGAGCUAAGAGAACCUUUACCUGGUUUGACUGCUGGAAAUGAUCGAUGUUUCUGUAAGUUUGUUCUAGGAUAUUGAGUCAUUUGCAUAUCUUACCCAAAACUUGAGUUGUAAUGUAUCAAAGUGCCUUGAGUUGUUUAUGGACAUUUUUUGUGAAGACAUGGCAGACAAAAAAUUGAGAUCAUGAUGGUGGAAUAUUUGCAUUCUUUGUCGCACAAUUAUGUAUCAGGUAAAUGGCCUUCAGUAAAAACCUUAGUUGACCUUCGAUCUUGGUUCGGCUCUUAAACUAUUUUGGUCCUAAACUUUAAGUUUUAGAUUUCGAUUAUUUUUGAAAGCUUGGAAGUUAUGUGUUGUUUGAUCCAGAGAGCUUUGAUUGAAUGAUCAACCGAUUGAAUUGGUUUCAGAUGAUAUUUAGGUCAAAGUCAGAAUUCGUCGAUUGCAUGGUGGAUAGGGUGAUUUCCUUGUAGACUUCUUGUAGUCUUCAAUCAUUUGAACUUGUUGGACCUACGUAUCUGGUGCCUGUAUAACAGUAGUGGCGUGUUUUUAUGUAGGAUCUCAAUGAAGGCCAGUAGUGUUCAGGAAAUGUCAUAGUGCAGUCGGGACCUUGUGGUAGGCAGAAUUCGAUUCAUCUUGAUAUAGUGGACGAGCAUAUUAAAUCCUUGUUUGUCUAUUAGUUCACAGUUCUCGUCUUCAGCGUGUGGCAGAGCAGUUUAGUAGCUCGCAAGGCUCCUAACCUUGACAUCAUGGGUUCAAAUCCUGUAUCUGCAACAUUUUAAUUUAUUCUUGGUAUUUUUUUUUUUUUAGCACAUGUGAUUUAAGUGUCUUUUGUUGGUUGUUCUUUACUUUCUUGCUUGUUUGCAGUCACUUGUGGUGGGCAGCAUUCGAUUCGUCUUGGUUUGUGCUUAUAUUUGGUAUUAUUUCACCAUCAUCCCAAUUUUUAUCGCUGUGUUUAUUCUUCCUUCAUCUAUACUUGUCUUUUCCACCAUUUGUUCUGAAAAUUCAUGGAUCUUUCUUACUUGGAAUAUUAGGAGAGGAUUACUAUUCCUUUACAAUUCAUUAGAAUUGGGUUAUUUUAUUUGUACCGAUAUAGUGGAGGGGCAUAUUAAUUCGUUAUUUGUGUUGGUUUGUGCUUAUAUUUGGUAUUAUUUCACCAUCAUCCCAAUUUUUAUCGCUGUGUUUAUUCUUCCUUCAUCUAUACUUGUCUUUUCCACCAUUUGUUCUGAAAAUUCAUGGAUCUUUCUUACUUGGAAUAUUAGGAGAGGAUUACUAUUCCUUUACAAUUCAUUAGAAUUGGGUUAUUUUAUUUGUACCGAUAUAGUGGAGGGGCAUAUUAAUUCGUUAUUUGUGUAUUUGUUCUCAGUUCCUGUCUUCAGCAUGGGUUGGUAGAUCGCAAGGCUCCUGACCUUGACGUAAUGGGUUCAAAUUCCGUCUCCGCAGCAUUAUUUUUAUUCUUGGAUAUAUUUUUUUUAACAUGUGAAUAAGUUUGUUUUGCUGGUUGCUCGUUACUUUUUUUGCUUGUUUGCAGUCACUUGAAGAUGGACUCGGUGAAAGUUAAAGAGCCUAGUGGGUGGCUGGACUUUUUUCUUGUUGUUGGACUGUAAUCCUGUAAUUAGUUGAAAACAGGAGAGAGUAUCUAAUUCUCUCUGUUUUCAUUUUUCGUUCUUGAACUUUGGUUGACGUCUCUCUUUGGUGUUUUCCAACACUUGUUAUUUUGCUUGUUUAUAGUUUAUUUUGAGAGCGGUCAUUUGGAAGAGGUUAGGGAACCCUUACCUGGUUAGACUGCAGUAAAUGAUCGAUGUUUCUGUGAGUUUGUACCCAAAACCCGAGUUGUAAUGUAUCUUAGUGCCUUGAGUUGUUUAUGGACAUUUUUUUGAAGCCAUGUAGGCAAAAAAUUGAGAAGAUCAUGGUGGAAUAUUUAAAUUCUCGAUCGCAUGAUUAGGUAUCAGGUAAAUGGACUUUAGUAAAUACCUUAGUUUGAACUUUAAUCUCGUUUAGUAAAUACAUUAGUUUUACGUUUUGAGAGUUGUGUAACAGUAUAUUUGUUAUUAUUUCACUGAAUACGUAGGUCGAUAGAUUGAAUGCCUGUGAGACUUCCAGUAUGCUUCGAUCAAUCGUACUUGUCAGACCUACGUAUUUGGUGCCUUAAUGAUAGUAUUGUGGUUGUUUUAUGUAGGAUCUCAGUGGGACCUUGUUGUUGGCAGCAUUCGAUUCGUCUUGGUUUGUGCUUAUUUAUGUUUUGAAAGUUGUGUAACAGUAUAUUUGUUAUUGUUUUACCAUCUUCCCAAUUUUUACCACUAUUGUUUAUUCUUCCUUCAUCUAUAUUUCUAUUUUCCACCAUUUGUUCUGAAAAUUCAUGGAUCUUUCUUAUUUGGAAUUUUAGGUGAGGAUUACUAUUCCUUUAUAAUUUAUUAUAAGUUGGUUAUUCUAUUUUUACCACUAUUGGUAGUUCGCAUGUCUCCUAACCCUGACGUCAUGGUUUCAAAUCCCGUCUCCGUAGCAUUAUUUUUAUUCUUGGGUUUUUAUUUUUAUUUUUUUUAACAUGUGUGAAUAAGUUUUUUUUGCUGGUUGCUCGUUACUUUUUUGCUUUUUUGUUUGUUUGCAGUUGCUUGAAGAUGGAUUUGGCGAAAGCUAAAGUGCCUUUUGUGUGGCCGGACUUUUUACUUGUUAUUGGUCUAUACAUAUUGUGAUUAGUAGAAAAUGGAAGAGAGCAUCUGAUUCUCUGUUUUAUUUUUUUGUUCUUGGAUUUUGCUUGACCUCUCUCUGGUUUUUCGCUUGUUUGAUUUUGAGAGCGGUCCUCUCUCUGGUUUUUCGCUUGUUUGAUUUUGAGAGCGGUCUUUUUGAAAGGCUAAGAGAACCUUUACUUGGUUAGACUGCAGGAAAUGAUCGAUGUUAUGUGUUAAAGUCGUUGAGUUGUUUAUGGACAUUUUUUUGAAGACAUGGCAGACAAAAUAUUGAGAAGAUCAAGGUGGAAUAUUUGCAUCCUCAAUCGGACAAUUUGGUACAAGUAAAUGGGCUUUAGUAAAUAUACCUACCUUAGUUUGACCUUUGAUCUUGUUUUGGCUCCUAAACUGUUAUUGAUUCUAAACUUUUAAGUUUUAUAUUUUUUUUCGGAAGGCUUGUAAUUUUUUAAUCGUUGAUCGAUCCAGAGAGCUUUGAUCGAAUGAUUAACUGAUUGAAUUGGUUUUAGGUAAUAUGUAGUUCAAAGUCAGAAUGCAUCGAUUGCAUGGUGGAUAGGUUGAAUUCCUUUUUGACUUCUUGUUAGAUCUAUGUAUCGGUGCCGGUAUAAUUGUAGUGGCGUGUUCUUAAGUAGGAUCUCAAUGAAGGCCUGUAGUGUUUGGAAACGUCAUAGUGCAGUUGGGACCUUGUGGUAGGCAGCAUUCGAUUCGUCUUGGUUUGUGCUUAUUUAUGUUUUGAAAGUUGUGUAACAGUAUAUUUGGUGAAAUAUCUACCCAAUUUUUACUGCUCUGUUUAUUCGUCCUUAAUUUAUAUUUCUUUUUUCCACCAUUUGUUCUGAAAAUUCAUUGAUCUUUCUUACUUGAAAUAUAAGAUGAGGAUUGCUACUCGUUUACAAUUUAUUUUAAAUGGGUUAUUCUAUUUGUGCAGAUAUAAUGGUGGAGCAUAUUAAAUCCUUGUUUGUCUUAUCUACUCAGUUCUUGUCUUCAGCCUGUGGCAGAGAAGUUUGGUAGCUCGCAAGUUUCCUAACCUUGACGUCAUGGGUUCAAAUCCCUUCUCCGCAGCAUUAUUUUAUUCUUGGGUUUUUUUUUUGCUGGUUGCUCGUUACUUUUUUGCUAAGGUGGACUUGGUGAAAGUUAAAGAGCCUUUUGUGUGGCUGGACUUCUUGUUAAUUCUCUGUUUUUGUGUUUUCUUCUUCUUGGAUUCUGUUUGACCUUUCUCUUUGGUGUUUACAAACUCUUGUUAUUUUGCUUGUUUGUAGUUGAUUUUGCGAACGGACUUUUGGAAAAAAGCUAAGAGAACCUUUACCUGGUUAGACUGCAUGGGAUAUUCUUCGUUGUAAGAAUUAGGAUAUCGAGUCAUUGGCAUAUCGUAUUACCCAAAACCUGAGUUGAUAUAUCAAAGAUCCUUGAGUUUUUUAUUGUCAUUUUUUUGAAGACAUGGCAGACAAAAAAUUGAGAAGAUCAUGGUGGAAUAGUUGUAUCAUCAAUCGCAGAAUUAGGUACAGGUAAAUGGACUUUAGUAAAUACCUUAGUUUGACCUUUGAUCUUGGUUUGGCUCCUAAACUGUUUCGAUUCUAAACUUUAAGUUUUAGAUUUUUUUGAAAGCUUGGAAGUUAUGAGCUGAUCGAUCCAGAGAUUUUUGAUCGAAUGAUCAAUCGAUUGAAUUGGUUUCAGGUAAAUAUUUAGUUCAAAGUGAGAAUGCAUCGAUUGCAUGGUGGAUAGGUUGAAUUCCUUCUAGACUUUUUAUUGUCUUUGAUCAAUCGAACUUGUUGGACCUAUGCAUUCGGUGCCUGUAUUAUAGUAGUGGCGUGUUUUUAUGUAGGAUCCCAAUGAAGGGUGUUUGGGAAAUGUCAUAGUGCAGUCGGGACCUUGUGGGAGGCAGCAUUUGAUUUGUGUUGGUUCGUGUUUAUUCAUGUUUUGAAAGUUUUUUCACAGUAUAUUUGAUUUUAUUUCACCAUCUUCCCAAUUUUUAUCGCUGUGUUUAUUCUUCCUUCAUAUAUAUUUCUCCUUUCCACCAUUUGUUCUUAAAAUUCAUGGAUCUUUCUUACUUGGAAUAUUAGGUGAGGAUUACUUUUCCUUUUAGAAUUCAUUAUAAAUGGCUUAGUCUAUUUGUGCAGAUACAGUGGAGGAGCACAGUAUAUUUUGUUUGUCUAUUUUUUCUCAGUUCUUGUCUUCAGCGUGGGGUAGACUUAGUUUGGUAGCUCGCAAGGCUCCUAACUUUGAUGGCAUGGGUUCAUGUAGGAUCUCAAUGAAGGCCAGUAGUGUUCGGUAAAUGUCAUAGUGCAGUCUGGAUCUUGUGUUAGGCAGCAUUUCAAUUUGUCUUGGUUUGUUCUAAUUUGCAUUUUGAAAGUUGUGUAACAGAGUAUAUUUGGUAAUUAUUUCACUACCUGUUCUUAAAAUUCAUGUAUCUUUCUUACUUGAAAUAUUAGGUGAGGAUUAGAAUUCCUUUGCAAUUCACUAUAAAUGGGUUAUUCUAUAUGUAUGCACAGAUAUAGUGGAGGGGUGCAUUAAAUCCUUGUUUGUCUAUUAGUUCUCAGUUUUGGGUUCAAAUCCAGUCUCCGCAGCAUUUUUUUUUUAAUCCCAGGAUGUGUGAAUGAGUUUCUUUUGCUGGUUGCUUGUUACUUUUUUAAUUUUUUUUGCUUUUUGCAUUUUGCAGUCACUUGAAGAUGUACUUAGCAAAAGUAAAAGAAACUUUUUUGUGGCUGGGCUUUUUACUUGUUAUUGGACUGUACAUCCUGUGAUUAGUUGAAAACAGAAGAGUAUCUAAUUAUCUGUAUUUGUUUUUUGUUCUAUCUUCUUGGAUUUUGCUUGACCUCUAUUUUUGUUGAUUGCAGACGCUUGUUAUUUUUCUUGUUUGUAGUGGAUUUUGAGAAUGGUCUUUUGGAAGAGCUAAGAGAACCUUUACCUGGUUAGACUGCAGAAAAUGAUCAAUCUUAUAUUAAGUUUGUGUUAGGAUAUUAAGUCAUUGGCAUAUCCUAGUUUAUGGGCAUUUUUUUGAAGUGAUGGCAGACAGAGAAACUAAGAAGAUCAUGGUGGAUAUUUGCCGAUUUUUUUUCGAAAGCUUGGAAUUUAUGCUUUGAUCCAUUCAGAGAGCUUUGAUUGAAUGAUCGACCGAUGAAUUGGUUUCAGUGAACGUAUGGGAGGAUAUAUUGCAAUUCACUGAUUGAGCACCCGCAGUUGGAACAUCAAACAGUUAUUUGUCUAUGAUGUCUAUCGUGCGGACCCCAAUACAAGUGUUCUCGUUUAUAUGUGCAUUCUGUUUAUUUGUUUAUGUUAGUUUUUAUGUGUGAUAUAUUUAUUUGUGUUUUUUUUAUAUGGAUUUUGGAGAGUACGGGGAGAUCAUUCUAUCUUGCUUCCGCCUUCUUUUCCAUUGGCUAAUGUGUAAUGCAAUUAGCAGCAACUCUAUGUUGCUGAGAUUGUAUUUAGAAUUAAAAGAAAAGUGUAAAUAAAUACUAGUUUUAUUUGUUGCCC
This is a long non-coding RNA of Cornus florida, 14187 nucleotides long. RefSeq lists it as uncharacterized. The record is from RefSeq and is a predicted model, not a curated record. The transcript has 7 exons. Lineage: Eukaryota; Viridiplantae; Streptophyta; Magnoliopsida; Cornales; Cornaceae.